UACGAAGGGGGCUAGCGUUGUUCGGAAUUACUGGGCGUAAAGCGCACGUAGGCGGACUACUAAGUCAGGGGUGAAAUCCCGGGGCUCAACCCCGGAACUGCCUUUGAUACUGAUAGUCUCGAGUCCGGAAGAGGUGAGUGGAAUUCCGAGUGUAGAGGUGAAAUUCGUAGAUAUUCGGAGGAACACCAGUGGCGAAGGCGGCUCACUGGUCCGGUACUGACGCUGAGGUGCGAAAGCGUGGGGAGCAAACAGGG
Molecule: ribosomal RNA, 254 nt
Filed under: uncultured bacterium
Lineage: Bacteria
Description: partial 16S ribosomal RNA
Rfam family: Bacterial small subunit ribosomal RNA
Source: RNAcentral